UACGUAGGGUGCGAGCGUUGUCCGGAAUUAUUGGGCGUAAAGAGCUUGUAGGCGGUUUGUCGCGUCUGCUGUGAAAAUCCGGGGCUCAACCCCGGACUUGCAGUGGGUACGGGCAGACUAGAGUGUGGUAGGGGAGACUGGAAUUCCUGGUGUAGCGGUGAAAUGCGCAGAUAUCAGGAGGAACACCGAUGGCGAAGGCAGGUCUCUGGGCCGUAACUGACGCUGAGGAGCGAAAGCGUGGGGAGCGAACAGG
RNAcentral lists this ribosomal RNA (253 nucleotides) under uncultured bacterium. RNAcentral describes it as "partial 16S ribosomal RNA". It matches the Rfam family "Bacterial small subunit ribosomal RNA", at positions 524 to 776 of the family's 1533-position model. The record is from RNAcentral.